Molecule: ribosomal RNA, 480 nt
Filed under: uncultured bacterium
Lineage: Bacteria
Description: bacterial SSU rRNA
Rfam family: Bacterial small subunit ribosomal RNA
Source: RNAcentral
UUGAACGCUGGCGGCAUGCUUUACACAUGCAAGUCGAACGGUAACAGGCCUUCGGGUGCUGACGAGUGGCGAACGGGUGAGUAAUGCAUCGGAACGUGCCCAAUCGUGGGGGAUAACGUAGCGAAAGUUACGCUAAUACCGCAUACGCCCUGAGGGGGAAAGCAGGGGAUCUUCGGACCUUGUGCGAAUGGAGCGGCCGAUGUCAGAUUAGGUAGUUGGUGGGGUAAAGGCUCACCAAGCCGACGAUCUGUAGCUGGUCUGAGAGGACGACCAGCCACACUGGGACUGAGACACGGCCGAGACUCCUACGGGAGGCAGCAGUGGGGAAUUUUGGACAAUGGGCGAAAGCCUGAUCCAGCAAUGCCGCGUGCAGGAAGAAGGCCUUCGGGUUGUAAACUGCUUUUGUACGGAGCGAAAAGGCUCUCUCUAAUACAGGGGGCUCAUGACGGUACCGUAAGAAUAAGCACCGGCUAACUACGU